AAUUGACCGGGUAAGAAAAUCACAAUUGAAUACCUAAUCUACAGAUCUCCAUUUAUAUUAUCCUCUCCAGAUUCCACCUCCAGUGACAAAACAUUAGACUUUAACGCAGAAACUGAUUCUCUAUACAUAUUAUAUUUGAUUUACGGCGGCGCGUGUCGUUCAUUUUCCCAAUGGGUCAGUCAGCUUCCACCUCCAAUUCUUCUAAUCGGGUUUUAACUCCGGCGAUUGUUUCUUCUUCAUCGCAAUCGCCAGAGCUCCCUGACGAAGCAACUGCUGAUGUUGAUUAUACGGAGGAUAUUCCUGACGAGUGUUUGGCGUACAUUUUCCAAUUCCUUUCUACUGGAGACCGGAAAAGCUGCUCCUUGGUUUGCCGCCGGUGGUUACUCGUUGACGGUCGGAACCGCCACCGGCUCUCUCUACACGCGAAAGUGGAGAUUUUUUCGUGUAUUCCUUCUCUAUUCACGCGGUUCGAUUCGGUCACUAAACUCUCCUUGCGUUGUGACCGCAAAUCCAUGAGCUUAAAUGAUGACACUUUUGUCAUGAUCUCCGUCCGUUGUCAGAAACUUGAGCGCCUUAAGAUCCGCGGCUGCCGAGAAAUCACCGACGACGGUAUGGCCGCAUUCGCUGAAAAUUGCAAGAACUUGAGAAAGCUCUCUUUUGGCUCGUGCGCUUUCGGCACCAUGGGCAUAAAUGCGGUGCUGGAUCACUGCAAGGCGCUGGAGGAUCUGUCUAUUAAGCGGCUCCGAGGAAUACACGACGGAGCCAAGACGAUCGCCCCAGGGGCCGCGGCUUCGUCUUUAAAAUCGAUCUGCUUGAAGGAGCUAGUCAACGGUCAGUC
Molecule: unclassified non-coding RNA, 838 nt
Filed under: Hevea brasiliensis (rubber tree)
Lineage: Eukaryota; Viridiplantae; Streptophyta; Magnoliopsida; Malpighiales; Euphorbiaceae
Source: RNAcentral